Homo sapiens (human) is the source of this 2730-nucleotide long non-coding RNA. Ensembl annotates it as ADPGK antisense RNA 1. Its record names the gene ADPGK-AS1. The record is from Ensembl. Lineage: Eukaryota; Metazoa; Chordata; Mammalia; Primates; Hominidae.
AAAAGUACAAAGAAAGGAGGUAGUGUCAUUUGGAAGAACCUUAAAUAUGCAGUGUCACUGAAGUCAGGGGAAGAAAAGAAUUUCACGGAGAAGGGCGUGUUCAAUGCGUGGAAGGCUGCAGAGUAGAUAAUGAAGAUUCAAAAAGGCAAAUCUGAGAGGAGUUGCAGUACAGUCGUGUGGUUUCUAGACUACACGGCGUUUCGAAAGUGGGUAAAGGCAGACAUCACGCGUCUUCAAGAAGUUCAGAAGAAAGAGGAAGAGUGUUGUCAUAGUGGGUAAGGUCAAGUAUCUUUGAUUGCAAAACAACAGUCGCCAGAAGAGAAGGGGCUAAAAGUUGGAACGAGGAAGAAGGCUCGGAGAAAGGUGUCAGACAAAGCGGGAUUAGCAAGAAGCUGUUAGGGCUGGUCCUACCGGGAUGAGAGAAAGGCGCAGAGGCCAGCCGAGUGGAAAGAGCAGCGGUGACGAACCGGGUUCCACUCAGACGUCCGACACUUCUCGCCAAGGGGCCAGCGCGGACAGCAGCGCCUCCCGGGGACCUCUGAGAAGCCCUGUUUCUGCGCGGCUCCGCCCGACCUCCAAGGCCGACCUCGGAGGCUCAGAGACCCAGGCCCCGUUGGCACUCACCCCACUGCCACGCGGCGCCAGCGCCGGACUGGCCGCACGAUAAGCGCGUCCCAGGCUGCCGCCAACCGGCCCUCGGGGGAGACGGGUCCCGGGGGCGCAGGCGCGGGCCCCAGACACAGCGAGCUCCAGAGAGAGCGCAGCGCCGAGCCUGGCAGCUCUGGCUCCAGCAGGAAGACGCAGCCCACGGCCAGCGCCAGGAAGCCCGCGUACGCGGAGCCGCGCCACAGCGCCAUGGGGACCCAGGCGCCGCACCUGCGCGAACCAACUCCUUUCCUAGCCCGCGCCUCUUCCGGGCUCGGCGCGCGCCGAUGUCGACACAAGCGCUACGUCACAAGGGUGCGCCACGGGGCCCCCCAAGGGGCGGGGCGACGGGCGGCGCCAGGACGGAGCGAGGGGGGACCCCACGCCUCAGUCCCAGGCCUGGCACUGCGGUGUUGCCGCCCCGGAGGAGGUGGGACAACGGCGGUUGUGCCAGUCCGGGCGCUGCACCCCCUUCCCGGAACUCUAAUCGUAUCCCCAAAUAGAGGGAUGGGAACACAUUUGCUUUCGCAGUAAAACGAAACGGACAGAUUGUGAAGAAGCGGACAAACCUCGCGUUAAUAUUCGAACCAGUGGGUGUCCCCAUUGGCACGGAUCACACCCCCAUCUUUUAAUCCCUCCCUCCGCCCGUGUCCCCUCAUUUGCUAGACUUGUCCUCUUCCAGGCCUAGUGCUCGGCGCUUCUGAGAGGAAUAGGCUCACAGAAUAGCGGCGCUGCCGAGACCCCUGGGGUACGCGAGGCAGGGGGAUUCCGCCCCUUUGGAAGGUGGCCGAGACCCUCAGCCACUAAAGGACUUCGUCGAGACAGGAGAGCCCGCAGAGAUCGUUCUCUUCUGGAUAACCAGAUUAUUCCACAAUCAAACUUUAACCCUUUUGGGGGCGCUGUUCCCUUUAACAAACUCUGGAAAAUGUACACAAUCUUGUGCACAACACGAGAGUUAUGGACCUGGGUUGAGAAACGCUGCUUUCUUUUGUUCCCCCUUGGUGACAUCACUUAAACCCAGCCCUCUCUUCGCUGAUACUUUUCUGUGCAUGAGGCUAGGUUGAGAGACAGUGAAGCUAGGCUGGGUACCAGCUCAUUCUCAUCAGCCACAAUGCCCGGCCUAGUCUUGUUCCCUGGUUUGUUUCCACUUUUCCAAUUCUCUCGGCUCCUGACCUUGGCUUUGUGUCCAGUUUUCCACUGUGACCCUGACCUUUGGACUUGGCAGCGAAACUUUAUUUCCCUAACUUUGAUCUUGGGCAUUAGUCUUCAUUCUCCUCAGCCCCACCUCAUCAGAACUUCCCCAUCCUGGUCAUCUACCUUCCCGCAGUUCAUCCUACCCAGCCUACCUGACCAUGCCAUCCCUUUCGACAAAGAUAUUCACACAGGAACAGAUUUGGGCUACCUUGGAAAAGAAGCCAAAGAGCCAGUCAGAUCUUUAUGAAGCCAUGAAAGCCAUCUUCCCUAGAGUUGCCUGUCACUUCUCUCUCCUUAGGGAGACAUGUCAGUCAGUUCCUAGAGAAACUGCUUCUUCUCACAACCCUCAGCUGUCAGGUUUCCCUGGCACCCAGAGGGGACUGAGCCAGCAGCUGACCUGAAAACAGCGAGUCUGCUGACUGUCCAGCGAUCAUUUCCCUCUAUUGAGAAUUUUAACCAAGUUUCUGUUGUCUGUAGUUAUUUGAUAUUGGCUGUGGACCCACAAAGUCACACAAGGCUAAAGGGUGGACAGCACGGAAGAGGCAGUACAUCUUAACAAAAUCAGGGUUCUGGAUGAAGGGAGGGGUGGUGAAUGGUUGCUGCAAUCAACAGUUCAUACUUCAAUGGAAAGAAGGUGGGAUUUGAUUCCUGGCUGCAAAUCUUCACUCUGUCACCUGCUAUCUGUGUGCCCUCAGGGUCUCACUUUGUCUCCCAGGCUGGAGUGCAGUGGCGCAAUCACCACUCACUGCAGCCUCACCUACCGGGCUCAAGUGAUCAUCCCACCUCAGCCUCUCCAGUAGCUGCGACCACAGGCACGUGCCACUAAAUGAUUAUUUUUUCAAGGGAGAAAUCAUGCCUGUCAUACAAAUAAAAAAUGAACAAGUGUAAAAG